AUACGGAGGAUCCGAGCGUUAUCCGGAUUUAUUGGGUUUAAAGGGAGCGUAGGUGGACAGUUAAGUCAGUUGUGAAAGUUUGCGGCUCAACCGUAAAAUUGCAGUUGAUACUGGCUGUCUUGGGUACAGUAGAGGUGGGCGGAAUUCGUGGUGUAGGGGAUAAAUGCUUAGAUAUCACGAAGAACUCCGAUUGCGAAGGCAGCUCACUGGACUGCAACUGACACUGAUGCUCGAAAGUGUGGGUAUCAAACAGGAUUAGAUACCCUGGUAGUCCACACAGUAAACGAUGAAUACUCGCUGUUUGCGAUAUACAGUAAGCGCCCAAGCGAAAGCAUUAAGUAUUCCACCUGGGGAGUACGCCGGCAACGGUGAAACUCAAAUGAAUUGACGGGG
This 393-nucleotide ribosomal RNA is filed under the name uncultured bacterium. Its description in RNAcentral is "partial 16S ribosomal RNA". It matches the Rfam family "Bacterial small subunit ribosomal RNA", at positions 523 to 918 of the family's 1533-position model. The record is from RNAcentral.